CAGUUAUCGUUUAUUUGAUAGUACCUUUCUACUUGGAUACCUGUGGUAAUUCUAGAGCUAAUACAUGCUAAAAACCUCGACUUCGGAAGGGGUGUAUUUAUUAGAUAAAAAACCAAUGCCCUUCGGGGCUCCUUGGUGAUUCAUAAUAACUUAACGAAUCGCAUGGCCUUGCGCCGGCGAUGGUUCAUUCAAAUUUCUGCCCUAUCAACUUUCGAUGGUAGGAUAGUGGCCUACCAUGGUUUCUACGGGUAACGGGGAAUUAGGGUUCGACUCCGGAGAGGGAGCCUGAGAAACGGCUACCACAUCCAAGGAAGGCAGCACGCGCGCAAAUUACCCAAUCCCGACACGGGGAGGUAGUGACAAUAAAUACUGAUACAGGGCUCUUUUGGGUCUUGUAAUUGGAAUGAGUACAAUUUAAAUCCCUUUAUCGUUAGGGGAUAGUAGUAGUCACGAAUCAUGUGGCCACGCCCUUCUCUUCCGGGAAGUCUUGAUAAUAUCAUGGCAAUCCGGAGCCGCGUAUUUAUAAGUGGUCAAGAGACUAAACAGGGGUGGGUGGGUUGAAUACUCAUUUAUGGUAUAGUCCAAUCUAUUAACUUUCGCUAGUGGUAAAAAUGUAACGAGGAACAAUUGGAGGGCAAGUCUGGUGAAUGUAACGUUCCAGCGUUCAGAUACACAGUAUCUACUGCUGACGCCAGUCGAAAGUUCGGAUCUCUGGGGUUGCUGCUUGCGGCCUCGAGUUCCACUCAGUGGGUGGUGUAGCCCCCGCGAGGUUCCCGGCACGGGGAAGGGUUCCUAGUGAGGGCCUUAUCCCGUGGCCGAUCGUCUUCGACUUUCGGCUUUAACGCGCGCAAGGGUACCGGUGGUCCCCAUAGAUCACUUGAGGUACGUGCUAAUCUCGCCCUAAACGGGCUCGUGGCGCCCACAUCGAAGCGUCACCCCGAGUAAAAAAUGGCCAGCAGCCGCGGUAAUUCCAGCUCCAAUAGCGUAUAUUAAAGUUGUUGCAGUUAAAAAGCUCGUAGUUGAAACUUGGCCUUGGCUGACCGGUCCGCCUCACCGCGUGCACUGGUUCGGCCGGGGCUUUCCUUCUGGGGAUCCGCAUGGCCUUCAUUGGUUGUGUUGGGGAACCAGGACUUUUACUUUGAAAAAAUUAGAGUGUUCAAAGCAGGCAUAUGCUCGAAUACAUUAGCAUGGAAUAAUAGAAUAGGACGUUGUGGUUCUAUUUUGUUGGUUUCUAGGACCGCCGUAAUGAUUAAUAGGGAUAGUCGGGGGCAUCAGUAUUCAAUUGUCAGAGGUGAAAUUCUNNNAUUUAUUGAAGACUAACUACUGCGAAAGCAUUUGCCAAGGAUGUUUUCAUUAAUCAGUGAACGAAAGUUAGGGGAUCGAAGACGAUCAGAUACCGUCGUAGUCUUAACCAUAAACUAUGCCGACUGGGGAUCGGACGGUGUUAUUAUUUUGACCCGUUCGGCACCCUACGAGAAAUCAAAGUCUUUGGGUUCUGGGGGGAGUAUGGUCGCAAGGCUGAAACUUAAAGACAUUGACGGAAGGGCACCACCAGGCGUAAAACACUUGCUGCAAGCUCUGCGCCUUUGAGCAGUGCCGCCCCCUAGAUAGGGGCUCGGCCGGUGAUAUCGUGUCCAGACGGCCCGCAUGGCCGCCGAAUACUGCCGUUAGCCCUGUUUACAGGGCGAUACACUCACAUUGCGGGGAGAUUCCGAGGCCCUCAGACACCUCCAUCGGCUGAAAGGUUUGAUGUAUGGUAACAGUUCUGCGAGGGCGUUNNNNNNNCGAUCCGCAGCCGUUUGCCUACCGGCGUUUUGCCCAUGGCCACUGGUUCAGAGAUUAGAUGGGUGUGGGGACCAGUAUUCCCUAAGCUUUAAUCCGUUGGGUGGCAUACGCCGCCCAAUUCUCUACGGGAGCCUGCGGCUUAAUUUGACUCAACACGGGGAAACUCACCAGGUCCAGACAUAAUAAGGAUUGACAGAUUGAGAGCUCUUUCUUGAUUUUAUGGGUGGUGGUGCAUGGCCGUUCUUAGUUGGUGGAGUGAUUUGUCUGCUUAAUUGCGAUAACGAACGAGACCUUAACCUGCUAAAUAGCCAGGUCAGCUUUGGCUGGCCGCCGGCUUCUUAGAGGGACUAUCGGCUCAAGCCGAUGGAAGUUUGAGGCAAUAACAGGUCUGUGAUGCCCUUAGAUGUUCUGGGCCGCACGGUACGUAAUUACUUUCUUUAUAUCCCUAUUCUUGAUGUCAUCUGCUAACGUUUUACAGCGCGCUACACUGACAGAGGCAACGAGUAAUCCACCUUGGCCGGAAGGCCUGGGUAAUCUUGUUAAACUCUGUCGUGCUGGGGAUAGAGCAUUGCAAUUAUUGCUCUUCAACGAGGAAUGCCUAGUAAGCGCAAGUCAUCAGCUUGCGUUGACUACGUCCCUGCCCUUUGUACACACCGCCCGUCGCUACUACCGAUUGAAUGGCUCAGUGAGGCCUUCGGACUGGCCUUAGGAGGUCGGCAACGACUACCCAGGGCCGGAAAGUUCGUCAAACUUGGUCAUUUAGAGGAAGUAAAAG
RNAcentral lists this ribosomal RNA (2560 nucleotides) under Flavoparmelia caperata. RNAcentral describes it as "partial 18S ribosomal RNA". It matches the Rfam family "Eukaryotic small subunit ribosomal RNA". The record is from RNAcentral. Lineage: Eukaryota; Fungi; Ascomycota; Lecanoromycetes; Lecanorales; Parmeliaceae.